This is a long non-coding RNA of Gallus gallus (chicken), 3758 nucleotides long. Lineage: Eukaryota; Metazoa; Chordata; Aves; Galliformes; Phasianidae. The record is from Ensembl.
UUUUUUUUUUUUUCUUUUUUCCUAUUUCAAUAUUUCUUUCCUAUUUUUAAACAUGUGCCCAUUAUUACAAAGACGCUAAUAAUGAAAUAUAUUUAAUUAAAAAACCCAAAUGCACACUAACAAUGAAUCAACUUCUCCCAGUCUUUCAUUACAUAUGUUCCAAUUGCUUUUCUCCCUCUCGCCCUCCAAAAUUGCACUAUUUAUCUGUAUGGAGCAGAUACCUUAAUCUUUCGGGGGGAAAGCAGAGAAUAAUUUCAAUUUCCAUGCAUUUAUGAAAAGACAUUCUUAAAUAGACUGGAAAAAAAAAAAAGAGAGAGAGAGAGAGAGAGAUAUUGCAUCUAUAAAUAAAUUAUUCAGGGCCGGGCGCUGGGAUGGGGUUACACAUCGUCAUUGUUUGAGGAGGCUGCAAAGCCUGACCCGGGAGUGCAGCUGUUGUCUUUGUGCCGGGCACUCGGCGCUUGCCAUUGUUCCGUGGCUGCAGCAGGCCCGGCGGGGCGAGGGGAGGGCAGCCUGGGUGAAAGGACGGCUGUGCAUUGAUGGUGCGGGGCACCAGCACUGGUGGCAGCCCUGGGCUUCUUCGCUGUGGGGCUGUCGGGGCCACUUCAGAGUUACAGCCCCCCUGCCCCACCCUGAAUCAGCAAUUUCGGGAGAUGAGAAUGCGUUCACCCCCUGUGCGUGCCAGCUGGAUCUUACCCAGGAACAGGCUGGGUUGUGUCAACAGAUGGUGUAAAAGGGGACAAAAAGGACAGUAUUUCCAAGCUGAAUAUGUAAUAUUAAACAGGUGUGGAGGUAAGAAAUGGUAAUGAAUAAAGAACACCAUGCUGCAGAGAGUGAUGUCCUUAUGACUGAGAGAGGGAGGCACAAAUUGCUUCUACUCAACACGUCCUGCUGAGCAGCAGGGGGAAUGGCUGAGGUGCUUCUGCCACUCUUCUUUUCCACAGUAACCACAGAAUCAUAGAAUGGCUUAGGUUGGUAGGGACCUCAAAGGUCAUCCACUUCCAAUCCCCUGCUGAGGGUGGAGUUCCCACCCAUAAGAUCAGGCUGCCCAGGUCUCCAUCCAGCCUGACCUUGACCGCUUCAAAGGAUGAGGCAUCCACAGCUUCUUUGGGCAUUCUGUUCCUGUGCCUCACCACCUUGGAACAGAGGGGGAGAUGGUAGACAGAGUCCCUGCUGCUAGGUCUAUCAGAUACCAAAGAUGGCAACGCUCAUCCCCAUGUCCUGCCAGAGCAAGGUGCACCCAGGGCAUGGAGGGUGCUGGGCAUUCACAGCUGCUCCCAGUUCUUCUCCCUGCUCAUGGGCCUGAAGGUAGAAGUAAGCGACACCCAAACAUGCUGCCAAAAGGAUACCAAAAAACAGCCAGAAUGCAAGUGGGGGCUCUUUGCCACUUCUGCAGCAACACCUGAAAUGCUUGUUCUAAGCUAGGAUUAUCCUGUAAUUGUGAAUGCAUCCCCCUCAUUCCUCAGCACGUGGCUGUCUGGUCUUACUGAGUUCCUCCUCAACUGCUAAGUUUUAAUCUUAAAAAUUUGUUAAUUUGAUUGUUAUAUCCCUGCCAGGCUUCCUCAUUUAUUUUCAGGUAGUCCAAGUCUCACUGUCUGGCAGGGAUGGAAUCCCACAUUAAUCUCACUGUUGAGACCGGGAGUGAGGGGCUUCGGGCUGGUGCAAAAGCCAAGUCACUCUUCAAUGGGGUGGAAAUGAAGAUGUUCGUUGCUGGGGGAGUGGGACCAACAAACAUUCUGCUUUGGCAGAUACUGUCAAACAGCAUAUAGCUACUUACAAAUUUGUGUUCACAUUGCUCUGUUCUAGGGACCUACAUUGUGUAUUCCCAAAUCCUUUCUUUGACUUACCUCAAAGUUAUAGAGCAUCAAUAGUAUAUGCAUCAUGGUAUGUAAAAGAUAUUCAUGUAUUUUACUUGCAGUAUGGCAUGCAUCUGUGACAUGUAAAAGAUGAGCUGCCUGCUCAUCUUUCAAACUAUUCUCUCUAGAACUGUUUUUAGCCAAAAUUCAGCUUUGUUGUUUCCCCAUCCUCUGUGAUCUGUCAGUAGGGUUCAAUGCAAUUAACUCUGUUGGUCUUGCAAUCAUGCCCUCACCUGCCUUGCUUGAUAACAGUUUCCUUCCUCUCCUCUGAAUGGGUCAGUCAGAAGACCAUCCUGGUGCCUCCUUCCGUUUUCUAGGGAAACCACUAGGCUCUCACCAUGCUCCUGCUGACUUUUUCCACAUUCACAAUACCACCUUCCACCUAUAUUUCAACCAACCUCCCAGCAUCUCUCUGUAGUUCGUUAAACAAAUAUAGGUUACAGGAGCCUACCUUAACUCUCUCUUCUUCUAAAGUGGCUACAAAGAUAGCAAGAAGAUACUCAUGUAUGGAGUCUACAGACCAACGUGCUGAUCAGUACUGCCUCAGUUUUAACUUGUAUUCUCACACUUACACAUCUCCCUGUCAUCUGACGUGAAGUUCUGUGCUUGUACCUCACAGCCAGGGUCUCUGUCCCCCAUUGCCUUAAUUAUGGACUCUGUGUGCUGCAGAUAUAUAAAUCAUGGAAAUUUAAUCAGGCUUAUUGCAUCCCUCAUCUGCCAGCACAGUCUGAAAUUAAAGCUGCAGUGAAAUAAAGGCUACUCCCAGUAAGAGGGAGCAGCAGUGCUACAUUCUACAUUUUGUCCAGAUAAAGCAUCUCUGGGCACCCAGGUGCAGUCUUCAGCUCGGGCUGUCACUCACGGCGUUCACCCUCACAUCCCUCCUUCCUUUAUUGGCGACACGAAGAGAGGAAAAGCAAGUCACCCUGUGCUUAAAUUGGAAUCAAUAAAAGCCCAGCCACAAAGCAGCAAGCUGCCAUCUUCAUAGCCAGUUCUGCAAGUUAGGGCACAGUCAAUAGUACCUCUGGAGCAAGCGUUUAAGCAGCCAUGUGGGGCAACUUGUCAGGUAAUUUCCAUUGGCUUAAUCAGAUCCUGUAAGAGGCGUUAAAUAGUGAUGUCUCCUCACACUGAUGAGAAUUGGUCUUAUCCACAGGCUACUUCCUAGUAGCAAAUUGGGGCUAAUAAAGAGAACCAGCUGAGUAUGGUGUACAGCUAUAGAAAUGCCAAAUAGAUACCCAAAUCAGGAUGGAAAAAUUCUCAUCGUUAUAUGAGAAUUUGAAAGAAGUACGAUACCAAUUUGAUGUCUGAAGGACACUGAAUACUGAAGUUUUUCAUCAUUGUGUGUUGCCAGAGCCUGCAUGAUUAGCACCUAUUGAAAUCAAUUAGUUUAAUCACAGUAAUAUCCUCCGGGUCUGGAUGGGUUUGUAAGACAAGCCCCAAAACCGUGUCUCUGCUGGGAAAAUUACCCAUUACUGACAAUGGCUACACCCUAACAGAUGCAGAUGAAUAAGUAAACACAUUAAGCUGCUGAGGUAGACUAGGACAAACAGCACUCAGCACUGCUUAGUAACCAUUCUGUGUUACUCAUCUGCCAAUGUGUUAGCUGCUAUUUAACUUGUUCUGUCCUGAUUGACACUUGGAGCUAAAUAGUGCUCAGCCUUUGUUCCUUUUCCUAGCAAGGUAUGAGGUUUGAGUGUCUGCAGCUUUCAAAACACCUUCUGAAGACAAAGAUGAAAGAGUCAUUGUAAUAUGGUGGAGUAUAAAUCAAUAGUGGAAAAUUAUUUUAACUUCAAAAUGCUCUUGUGAGCAUUACUGUUUGGGGUGGAAUAUAACACAGACUAUAGCCAGCAUUAGCAAGUAAAGAUGAAAGGCGAUAUUGUGCAAAAAAUGAGAAGGAAAAAAAAAAAA